CGGCAUGCCUUACACAUGCAAGUCGUAACGGCAGCACGGGAGCAAUCCUGGUGGCGAGUGGCGAACGGGUGAGUAAUAUAUCGGAACGUGCCCAGUCGUGGGGGAUAACGUAGCGAAAGCUACGCUAAUACCGCAUACGAUCUAUGGAUGAAANCGGGGGAUCGCAAGACCUCGCGCGAUUGGAGCGGCCGAUAUCAGAUUAGGUAGUUGGUGAGGUAAAGGCUCACCAAGCCGACGAUCUGUAGCUGGUCUGAGAGGACGACCAGCCACACUGGGACUGAGACACGGCCCAGACUCCUACGGGAGGCAGCAGUGGGGAAUAUUGGACAAUGGGCGAAAGCCUGAUCCAGCCAUUCCGCGUGCAGGAUGAAGGCCUUCGGGUUGUAAACUGCUUUUGUACGGAACGAAACGGUGAGCUCUAAUACAGUUUGCUAAUGACGGUACCGUAAGAAUAAGCACCGGCUAACUACGUG
This 473-nucleotide ribosomal RNA is filed under the name uncultured bacterium. RNAcentral's name for it is "bacterial SSU rRNA". It matches the Rfam family "Bacterial small subunit ribosomal RNA", at positions 40 to 507 of the family's 1533-position model. The record is from RNAcentral.